CCGGCUGCUGCGGACAGCAGCUGCCAGAGCAGGGUGCAGGCCGGGGAGCGGCGGGGCCAGCUGAGUCGGCCGGCGGCGGUAGCCGCGCUCCGCUGGGGCCGGUUGGAGGAGACUGAUUUGAUUUCUAAAAGAUUUCAACGAAAGAGGCUGACUGCGCCUGUUCAUCUCACAGGAUUUAUUAAGCUCCGACUUUGCGCUUGAAACCUCUGGAGCCACUGAGGAAACAGCAAUGAAAUCUGACCAGAAAAACACUUUGGACUUGGAAUUUCGCUUUAAGGACAGUGAUCCAGAAGAGCUCACUGUGCCCACUGUGCACUGUAAGGAUGGUGCUGCCGAGAGAAAUUAAGAUUGGAGAAGGAAAGGGUUGCAGUUCAAAGUAAAGGUAGUCCGAGGAAAUUUUCAGGACAACAGGCGAGCCAUAGUCCAGUGAAGGAAAAUGUUCACCACACUCCUACCUGGGGAAAGAGCUGUGGAGGCAGAGGGGCUGGGAGUGCAAAGGCCCUGAGGCAGAAUCACCUCAGUGUGGGUAGGGGGACUCCAAGAUGAGCAUGUGGCAGCUGAGAGCAGUGCAGAUGAAUUAAAACAUGCUUCGGAAAGUAAGCUUCUAAAACUACAAACUGAGAAUAAAAAAACUGAGAAAGGAGCUGGGCAGUAUGGAAAAUUCAGACAAGAUAAACACCAUGCAACAAAGCCUACAGACAGAGAUGGAGCUUGCUACAGUUACUCAACAUGUAUUCC
Molecule: long non-coding RNA, 738 nt
Filed under: Cavia porcellus (domestic guinea pig)
Lineage: Eukaryota; Metazoa; Chordata; Mammalia; Rodentia; Caviidae
Description: lncRNA (ENSCPOG00000033567.1)
Source: RNAcentral